This 421-nucleotide ribosomal RNA is filed under the name uncultured bacterium. RNAcentral's name for it is "partial 16S ribosomal RNA". It matches the Rfam family "Bacterial small subunit ribosomal RNA", at positions 360 to 773 of the family's 1533-position model. The record is from RNAcentral.
AAUAUUGGACAAUGGGCGAAAGCCUGAUCCAGCCAUGCCGCGUGUGUGAAGAAGGUCUUCGGAUUGUAAAGCACUUUAGGUUGGGAGGAAGGGCUUUAGGUUAAUACCCUGAUGUUUUGCUGUUACCAACAGAAUAGGCACCGGCUAACUUCGUGCAAUCAGCCGCGGUAAUACGGAGGGUGCAAGCGUUAAUCGGAAUUACUGGGCGUAAAGCGCGCGUAGGUGGUUCAGUAAGAUGGGUGUGAAAUCCCCGGGCUUAACCUGGGAACUGCUUUCAUAACUGCUGAGCUAGAAUACGGUAGAGGGUAGUGGAAUUUCCUGAGUAGCGGUGAAAUGCGUAGAUAUAGAAAGGAACACCAGUGGCGAAGGCGACUACCUGGAAUGAUACUGACACUGAGGUGCGAAAGCGUGGGGAGCAAAC